UACGUAUGGAGCAAGCGUUAUCCGGAUUUACUGGGUGUAAAGGGAGCGUAGACGGUAUGGCAAGUCUGAUGUGAAAGGUGUGGGCUCAACCCGCAAACUGCAUUGGAAACUGUCAGACUAGAGUGUCGGAGAGGUAAGUGGAAUUCCUAGUGUAACGGUGAAGUGCGUAGAUAUUAGGAGGAACACCAGCGGCGAAGGCGGCUUACUGGACGAUAACUGACGUUGAGGCUCGAAAGCGUGGGGAGCAAAC
This 250-nucleotide ribosomal RNA is filed under the name uncultured prokaryote. Its description in RNAcentral is "partial 16S ribosomal RNA". It matches the Rfam family "Bacterial small subunit ribosomal RNA", at positions 524 to 773 of the family's 1533-position model. The record is from RNAcentral.